CAGGUAUCGGUAGAACAGGAACAUUAAUAGCGAUAGAUAUCCUCCUGCAACAUCUUAGAGAUAAUAGAAAGUUAGACGUUUUCGGAACUGUAUACAGACUGCGACAUCAUAGAAUAAAUAUGGUGCAAAGAGAAAGUCAAUAUGCUUAUAUAUAUAAUUGUAUAAAACAAGUACUCAAGAAUCCCUAUUUCUUAAAAACUUAUAAACCACCACCCGUUGAUCCAGUAUACGAAAAUAUCUCUAAGAUCAAAGAUACAACGAAUUCAGAUACAAAUCUAGUCAACAACCUUGAAACAUAAUGAGAGUCUCUUCUUCAACUAUAUCUAAUACGUGAUGAGUAAAAAAACAUAAUAGCUCCAUAUCUAUGGAGUCUUUGGAAUCAAUCUACAGUCUCUUUCCUUGGUCAACAAAAUACCAACGAAGAAACGUAAUAGAUAGCGGUUUGAGACAAUACAAAUCGAUGGGUUCCAUAAAUGUAAAGACCUGUCACAUUUCUAUAGGAAAAUCCCGUACUUUGGACUGUGUCAUUUAUAAAUCACUGAACAAUUCAUCAUAUAAAUUAAGUAGAGAAAAUUUAAAACAGGAGAGCUUUCCAUUAUUAACUUGUUCGAGAUCAGCUCAAGAUGUACUUGGCAAUAACACGCAAUAUGCAAUGAACAGUAAGCCUUAUAUCAUUUUGUUGAAAUCUAUAUUAUGUUGCAUGAAUUGUGCAUUAUACUUUUUUUCACAACAGUGAUUUAUGAAAUCUAUAUUUUUUUGCAGACAUGUGAAAAAGAUGAUUGAGUUAUAUAAUUUACAUGUGUUAAAUUAUAAUCAGAGAAUACAUAGAUAUAUUCGACCAGAGUAUAAACUAUAAAUAUAUGUAAAUAAACAAUACGUUGACAAAAAAUUCUUAGGAAAAUUAAGAAUUCUUAGAAUAGAAUGUUACUUUAUACAUUCUUUACAAAUAAUCACAAUUUUAUUGGACAUUCCCAUAUAUGAAUGUAUAUGAUACCAAAAUGUAUUAAAUGAUACUGUAUUUAAUGCUUAUACCAGCAUUAUCAGAUAUUAUCUUAAACAAUCUCUAGUCCAACUAGAAUUGAAAAACAUCAAAUAAUAGAAGCAAAGAAAUUGCAUUUAGGACAUGUAAUAUAUAUCCAUAAGAAUUGUAUAUAUAUUUCUACAGCUUAUAGAGAUCAUAUAUUUUAUACAUGUGUUUAUACUUAUAUUUAUUUAAGAUAUAUGCAUAACAUGCAAUUACAAUAGAGCAUGUAAUACCUUGUUUAUUCAAUCACACAUAAAUUCAUUUGAUUUAC
RNA transcript from Formica exsecta, 1295 nucleotides. RefSeq lists it as uncharacterized. The transcript has 7 exons. Lineage: Eukaryota; Metazoa; Arthropoda; Insecta; Hymenoptera; Formicidae. The record is from RefSeq and is a predicted model, not a curated record.